AGAAUUAGGUCAUAUAAUUAGACCAGACACAUGGGAUGAAAGCUUACAAUAUAUAAACCACUGUUCGUUAAAUGCUAGACACUCCUUGAUACAAUUUAAAAUACUAUAUAGAUUACAUUACUCGAAGACAAAAUGAAAUGGGAUUUUUCC
Long non-coding RNA from Amblyraja radiata (thorny skate), 150 nucleotides. RefSeq lists it as uncharacterized. The transcript is spliced from 4 exons. The record is from RefSeq and is a predicted model, not a curated record. NCBI's taxonomy places the organism in Eukaryota, Metazoa, Chordata, Chondrichthyes, Rajiformes, Rajidae.